This is a long non-coding RNA of Dermacentor albipictus, 1010 nucleotides long. RefSeq lists it as uncharacterized. NCBI's taxonomy places the organism in Eukaryota, Metazoa, Arthropoda, Arachnida, Ixodida, Ixodidae. The record is from RefSeq and is a predicted model, not a curated record.
UGCGUCACGUCCAAGUCAAGCCGCCGUACGGGUGUAUGGCCGUGCGCCCCGUUCUCGGAAGCGUCGACGGGUUUCCGGCAUGCGAAUUUCAGCGUUUGGACUCGACUUUUGGUGAGGAUGUCGAUCGACCUUGGGCCUGGUGACAGCACAGCCGACAUCGCCAAAGUGCAGCCUAUCAGUUGAGUGCCCCCGAAUGGACCAUCAACAUCGGAAAAUGAAGCAGAGCCAGGGGGAAAAGGUACCGGUAACACCAUGCAUUCAGUAUGGUGGCCCAGAUGUGUAUGCAAGCAACCUCCUUCAUGUGGACCAAGAACUACUCUGCAGUGUCUCGCAGACUUCCAUGCGAAGCCCUCAACAUUCUCGUCUCAGUGGAAUGGCUGCUCAUCUAUCUGCGUGUCCAUCACCAAGACGGCCAGUUGUAAAGCUCCUGUACCAGUUUAAGAAGCUUAAUGAUUGUUUUAUUUAGUUUUCACGGUUGGCCGUAGAAUCUUAACAUUUUUGAUGUUUCUAACAUUUUUACCUGGCACAAAGUGGUGCAAUAACUUUAAACCAGUGUAAUGUAUUUAAAUCAUGCUCACUCUAAUGCCUAUCUGGUUCUGUUUGUGUUUAAGAAAUUUGAAUGUCUGAUGAGGUACCGGCAUUUGAAUUUGUCAUCGUGGCUCGUUUCAAUGAGCUGCUAGGAAAUAAACGCAAAACUUAUCACACGCCAGUUGUAGCAUUUUUAUUUUCAUUACUAAAGUAUACAGGUUUCAAAAGAUGGAAAGUGGGGAAAAAAGCAUCAAGAACGUAAUCAUCCUAGGAUUGUCAUGUCCUUACAACUCUGCAAUGACUAAUGCCUCAUACAUCUUGGGAGCGCAUUGGUCGCAAUUCCUACAGGUAUACUUAAUAAGAGAAAAGCUUGCACUCAGAUUUGAGAUUUGCCACGCAGUUGAUGGCUGAUGGCUUUUGUUUGUCGUCUUCAUGUUACUACUAUGUAUUCAAUAUCCAUUUAGAUCUGCUGCGUUUUUUUG